RNAcentral lists this small nucleolar RNA (176 nucleotides) under Rhinocladiella mackenziei CBS 650.93. Its description in RNAcentral is "A. fumigatus snoRNA Afu_198". It matches the Rfam family "A. fumigatus snoRNA Afu_198". The record is from Rfam by way of RNAcentral. Lineage: Eukaryota; Fungi; Ascomycota; Eurotiomycetes; Chaetothyriales; Herpotrichiellaceae.
CACGUCUCUCGAUAUGAUGAAUUCAAGGAACCGUACGGCAUUAGGAAGAGCCGGAAAAGGAUGCCAGUGAAAGGACAUGAGGGAGCAUGGCAUCGUCAAAUGCCGUGUUCUGGUCACCCAAAAAAAAGUCUCCUGGCCUCGCUGCUUAGAAGGGUUCUUCUGAUAUAUCACUAUUU